UUAGUCAAAAACAUGAAUAUAAACUGAUUUAAAUUUGUAUAAACAACUCUUUUUUCAUGAUAUCUUAAAUUGAUGCUUUCGAUUUAGAAAUUUAAAUUGUUUUAUUUAGAAAUUUAAGACCUAAAAUCUGUAUUUAUAAGGAAAUUCUCCCAGAUCUGCUGCCUCAUUUUGGCAUUUUUAAUAGGAUCCUGGAGUCCUGAAUCCUGGCCAGAGAAAAUCUUUAGCUUCAGGCAAUCUGCCCCAAACUUCUUGGUUGGUGUCAGUACAUACAUACACUUGGUCGAAUAUUUCAGCCAAUUCUGAAUAUAUUUUGCAAAUUUGAACCAUUGAUAAAUAUUGAAAAUCUAAUUUUGUCUUAAACAGUUUCAGGGUUUUUCCACAAUAAUGUAUAGAUUAUUUUUAUUUUGUUUAUUAAACAAAUUAAGCAAGACGAUUCUUAGAUAUGAUUUGAGCAUGGAGUGAAAUAGGUAGUAUCCGAUACAAUCCUGCAGAUACAUUAGUCCCUGCCUACACCUACAUCAGUGGAUGCCUAGUGUCCUGAACACUGCCUGUAGUGGCUGAGAGAGUUGGGACAGUGGGUAGUGUGUUGCUUCAUCACACAACACCCUGGUUCCGUUCCUGUCAUGGUCACUUGAGUCAUUUAGCUGCAUUAUUGUACAGGUCCCCACAUCUCCUUUCUUGUCAUCAGUAGAACUACAGGUCCACACGUCUCCUUUCUUGUAAUCAGUAGAACUACUGGUCCCCACGUCUCCUUUCUUGUCAUCAGUAGAACUACAGGUCCACACGUCUCCUUUCUUGUCAUCAGUAGAACUACAGGUCCCCACGUCUCCUUUCUUGUCAUCAGUAGAACUACUGGUCCCCACAUCUCCUUUCUUGUAAUCAGUAGAACUACAGGUCCCCACGUCUCCUUUCUUGUAAUCAGUAGAACUACAGGUCCCCACAUCUCCUUUCUUGUCAUCAGUAGAACUACAGGUCCCCACAUCCCCUUUCUUGUAAUCAGUAGAACAGUAGAACUACAGGUCCCCACAUCUCCUUUCUUGUCAUCAGUAGAACUACAGGUCCCCACGUCCCCUUUCUUGUAAUCAGUAGAACAGUAGAACUACAGGUCCCCACAUCUCCUUUCUUGUAAUCAGUAGAACUACAGGUCCCCACGUCUCCUUUCUUGUAAUGAGUAGAACUACAGGUCCCCACAUCUCCUUUCUUGUCAUCAGUAGAACUACAGGUCCCCACGUCUCCUUUCUUGUAAUCAGUAGAACUACAGGUCCCCACAUCUCCUUUCUUGUCAUCAGUAGAACUACAGGUCCCCACAUCUCCUUUCUUGUAAUCAGUAGAACUACAGGUCCCCACGUCUCCUUUCUUGUCAUCAGUAGAACUACAGGUCCCCACAUCUCCUUUCUUGUAAUCAGUAGAACUACAGGUCCCCACGUCUCCUUUCUUGUAAUGAGUAGAACUACAGGUCCCCACAUCCCCUUUCUUGUAAUCAGUAGAACUACAGGUCCCCACAUCUCCUUUCUUGUAAUCAGUAGAACUACAGGUCCCCACGUCUCCUUUCUUGUCAUCAGUAGAACUACAGGUCCCCACAUCUCCUUUCUUGUAAUCAGUAGAACUACAGGUCCCCACGUCUCCUUUCUUGUAAUGAGUAGAACUACAGGUCCCCACGUCUCCUUUCUUGUCAUCAGUAGAACUACAGGUCCCCACAUCUCCUUUCUUGUAAUCAGUAGAACUACUGGUCCCCACGUCCCCUUUCUUGUAAUCAGUAGAACAGUAGAACUACAGGUCCCCACGUCUCCUUUCUUGUAAUCAGUAGAACUACAGGUCCCCACAUCUCCUUUCUUGUCAUCAGUAGAACUACAGGUCCCCACGUCCCCUUUCUUGUAAUCAGUAGAACAGUAGAACUACAGGUCCCCACAUCUCCUUUCUUGUAAUCAGUAGAACUACAGGUCCCCACGUCUCCUUUCUUGUGAUCAGUAGAACUACAGGUCCCCACGUCUCCUUUCUUGUAAUCAGUAGAACCACAGGUCCCCACAUCCCCUUUCUUGUAAUCAGUAGAACUACAAGAGUGAGGUCACUGUUUAUAGUUACAUGCAAGACCUUGUACAUGUCUGUCACCAUCUCGACACCAUCUUGACACCAUCUUGACACCAUCUUGACACCAUUGUUCAAUACUGAAGCCUUGUCCUUGUCAUCAACCUUCUUCUGUCUUUAGAAUUACAAAGAGGGACAUCAUCAGAUGCUUUGAUGUGGAAGUAAUUCUGUAGGUUUUGAGAACCAAGUUCAUAUGUUACAGUCAAUGUGUAAAAUCAGUCGUGUGAAAUGGCUGAAAUUUUAGCUUCGGCAAUUCACAAGACGCCUAAAUAAUUCAGUCGUUUUACAAAUUGACUAAAAAUUCUGUCCAUAUAAUUUAUUAUGAUAACGAAUUCCAAAGAUUUUGAUGUUGAAGUUCAUCACCCAGUGAAUAUGACAGCGUAAAGAGAAAACGGAAGUCAGUGUAUAUUAGUUUUCAUUGUUCCCUUAUUAGUCUCCAUGGUUAUAUAAUGAGAACAUCUUUCCCUUGAGGUGGUGGUGGGGUGGCCCAGUGGUUCAAGUGGUGGCCCAUCAUGCUGAAGCCCUGGGUUUGAUUCCCUACAUGGCUACAGUGUGGGUACUCCAUACUCUCUGCCCCUACAGUCAUACGGUUGAGGUGGUGGUAGGGUAGCCCAGUGGUUCAAGUGGUGGCCCAUCAUGCUGAAGCCCUGGGUUUGAUUCCCUACAUGGCUACAGUGUGGGUACUCCUUACUCUCUUCCCCUAUAGUCUUACGCCCGAAAUAUUCCUAAAAAAGAUAUUAGACUGCAAUCAGUCAGCACUGACCCCAUAAAGAUUCCCGAUGACAGUUUAGAUCCCUAAUCCCAAAGAACCGACGAAAUGAGGAUUGGGUGGUCACAGUGUAUGACUGUCUGAUUCUGUGCACGACAAUAAGGUUGUUGUUUAUGCUGUCAACCACCGUUGUGCCCACCCUGUAUUAUCCACACAACAUGUUGUGACUGUACUAUUGGUGUUCACGACUCAAGAACAUACCUCACACAGGACAUAGUAGGCAGGUGACUGCAUGGCCAACAUUUAACCCCACACUGACCAGAUGACAUUCUCCAGCCCAUAGGCGGAACAUUCUGUUAGAAGAGCUAGAAAUAAUUCCCUUGCUAAUCCUGUCAGGAAUCCUCCCCCACAAGACUAAGUCCUCCCUCCUCCGCCCUAGACUCUCCCCCUGCAUGGAGUGUUGCUGCUGGCAUGAACAAUCCGAUGUUUUACUUUCCGAUCAGAUUAAUGUCUCUCCACCUUGAGUUGAUUCUGUUGGGUUAUUGAUGUGUGUAACUGUGUAACGUCUCCGAUAACAUCAUGUGUGGUGCUGUUGAAGAUUUAAGCUUGUCCUACAUCUAAUUACCAGUUUGAAUAAUGAUAAUGAAUUUAUUGAACCCUUUCAUCACUUUAAUUUCUGCAGUUUAACUUAACAUCUACCUGAACGCCACUAUCACCCAAUCAUAAAUUUAAGUUUGAUAAAUUAACAGUCAGUAAAGAUAUUUAAGUGACAAUUUAGUUUGUGUUACUUGAACCCAGAUUUGUGAUGGAAUUUGAGAUAAAGUUUCUGAAAAAAAUUGAAAAUAAGUUGAAACAUUAUAAAUUUUAUGAUAAUAAAAUCUUGUCUCACAUUCCAACCACUGGGUUUGUAUUUGAUUCCCAACAUGCCUGUGAUCUCCAUGUUGUUGUAGUGUUGUUUCAGUGUUGUUCAAUCGUUG
RNAcentral lists this unclassified non-coding RNA (3771 nucleotides) under Haliotis rufescens (red abalone). Its description in RNAcentral is "uncharacterized LOC124111862, transcript variant X13". The record is from RNAcentral. Lineage: Eukaryota; Metazoa; Mollusca; Gastropoda; Lepetellida; Haliotidae.